Non-coding RNA from Corylus avellana, 646 nucleotides. The record is from RefSeq and is a predicted model, not a curated record. Lineage: Eukaryota; Viridiplantae; Streptophyta; Magnoliopsida; Fagales; Betulaceae.
UUGGUGGGCCCCCUGCAGCAGCCACUUUUCCUCCCAUUUUUUCCUUCUUUCCUCCUUUCUUUCUUUCUCCCUCACCCUUCAUUCACGCACACACACACAGCAGCCCUUUUUUCCCAUUUUCCCUCACUCUUUCUCCUUCCACAAACCCACACACAUGACCUAGAUUGGGAGAGAAAGAGCUGCAGAUUGAGAGAGAGAGAGAGGGGUACUGCUGGCUGGGAGAAAGAAAGAGAAAGAAGAAGGAGAAGAAGAAAGAAGAAAAAGAAAAGAAAAGGAAAGUGACGAAAUUUGAAGGGGGUUCCGGCUAGGGGUGCUUGAGAGGUGUAUCGCGGUUGAGUCAAGAGUUCACUGGAGGGUACUCAACUAAACAAGACGAUGUGAUUAAUGUUGAUGCAGGUGCGGAGAUUACUGAGGAUGACCCAGUAGCUAUGUAUUUGGGUUACUACAACGUUUGAGGCAUAGUUGCAUCAGACGUUAUUUUGUUGGACUAGAUAAUAGUCCCCUUUUGUAGAGCUUACAUGUAUAUGCUUAGACUUUGUUAUUUUGUAUAUGGCUCGUGUCGCAUGUGACACUUUUGUAUAGCCAUUCUUUUGUAUGUAAGCUUUAAUCACUUAGAUGUAUUAAUCAGCUCUGAUGUAUUAUGUUA